This is a non-coding RNA of Cyanistes caeruleus (blue tit), 1044 nucleotides long. The record is from RefSeq and is a predicted model, not a curated record. NCBI's taxonomy places the organism in Eukaryota, Metazoa, Chordata, Aves, Passeriformes, Paridae.
GGUUUGUUUUUUUUUUUAAAAAAAAAACACUUUAUUUGCAGCCCUAUCCAUACAGUUCAUCACCAGCUGUACUGCUAAAGCAGCAAGUUCCCAUUGGGUAUCAACCGGCUUACAACUAUCAGGCUCAACCACAGUGGCUUCCUGGAGAGCAAAGAAAUUAUGUAAUACCUCCAACUCCGGUAAGCCUAGACUUCUGAAACUGUCUUAUUAAUUAGCACAUUGUUUUUACAGCUUGAUACUUAAAAAAAAGUCUGAUGGUUGUCUGGAACAAGGUAAUCUGGUCUACAAAAUCUGUAAUUGUUAAUGAGAGUUGUAGUUCAGGAUUUCUACUGAUAUGGUGCUUAAAAAUUGAGUUACCUGACAGUUAAUGCCUGUUUUAUGGCAUUAUUCUACAUGUUCUAGUCACAGAACUCUGGAAUUUUAACCAGUUUGGAGUUGGAGUCCAGGAAAAGUUGGAGGACAAAUAAGGUUUUAAAAAUUUUUCCAGGCUGCUGCAAACUGUAGAUGGUGCUGCUGUCGGCCAUCUAAAAAAAUUCUUUGCUUUCUGUGACUUAAUGCGAGUAACAUACAUGAGAAAGGGGGAAAAAAUACUCUGUAUUUGUUUAGCAAUGUUGGAGUUAAAAAUGCCCAUGGGGCAAGUUUAGUGUUCUUUAGGUAUAUUUGUUGGCUUCAGUUUUGAUUAAGUGUUUAAAAGCUGUAAUAUAUAAUUUUAUUCUGAAUGGUAUUCUUUUUCUGAAAGCUAUGAGAAGUAAUUGAAAUACUGAUGACACUGUUGGCUUGAAAUAGUUUCUUUUAGUAGCAUCUAUGAAUGUGAUACAGCCAUAGUGUAUCACUUUAUAAUUCAAUUCAAAAUGUUUUUAGGGUAGGUGUGUAUGGGGGUUUCACUGUUAAAUGCCACAGGCUUGAUUAUAGGAGCAGACAGCUAUUCUAGAACUAUCUCACUUAAGCAACUCUAAGUAUCAUUCUUAAAUGUUUUAGUAAAACAGGUUAUGACACACUAUUUAACCUACCCAUGAAAUUUAUCAAAACUGUGCGAUAAGAUAA